This 279-nucleotide ribosomal RNA is filed under the name uncultured bacterium. Its description in RNAcentral is "partial 16S ribosomal RNA". It matches the Rfam family "Bacterial small subunit ribosomal RNA", at positions 506 to 784 of the family's 1533-position model. The record is from RNAcentral.
UGCCAGCAGCCGCGGUAAUACGGAGGGAUCUAGCGUUAUUCGGAAUUACUGGGCGUAAAGCGAGCGUAGGCGGAUUUGUAAGUUGGAGGUGAAAUCCCAGAGCUUAACUCUGGAACUGCCUUCAAAACUACAUUUCUUGAGUUUGGUAGAGGAGAGUGGAAUUCCUAGUGUAGAGGUGAAAUUCGUAGAUAUUAGGAGGAACACCAGUGGCGAAGGCGACUCUCUGGGCCAAUACUGACGCUGAGGUUCGAAAGCAUGGGUAGCGAACAGGAUUAGAUA